GUGUCAGCCGCCGCGGUAAUACGUAGGUGGCAAGCGUUGUCCGGAUUUACUGGGCGUAAAGAGCGCGCAGGCGGUCGUGCAAGUCGAGUGUGAAAGCCCCCGGCUCAACUGGGGAGGGUCACUCGAUACUGCUCGACUUGAAGGCGGAAGAGGGAAGCAGAACUCCCGGUGUAGUGGUGAAAUGCGUAGAUAUCGGGAAGAAUACCAGUGGCGAAGGCGGCUUCCUGGUCCGUUCUUGACGCUGAGGCGCGAAAGCUAGGGGAGCGAACGGGAUUAGAUACCCCUGUAGUCC
RNAcentral lists this ribosomal RNA (292 nucleotides) under uncultured bacterium. RNAcentral's name for it is "partial 16S ribosomal RNA". It matches the Rfam family "Bacterial small subunit ribosomal RNA", at positions 505 to 796 of the family's 1533-position model. The record is from RNAcentral.